This 812-nucleotide ribosomal RNA is filed under the name Microbacterium barkeri. RNAcentral's name for it is "bacterial SSU rRNA". It matches the Rfam family "Bacterial small subunit ribosomal RNA", at positions 72 to 895 of the family's 1533-position model. The record is from RNAcentral. Lineage: Bacteria; Bacillati; Actinomycetota; Actinomycetes; Micrococcales; Microbacteriaceae.
AGCCCAGCUUGCUGGGUGGAUUAGUGGCGAACGGGUGAGUAACACGUGAGCAACCUGCCCCUGACUCUGGGAUAACAGCCGGAAACGGUUGCUAAUACCGGAUAUGCAUCAUGGCCGCAUGGUCUGUGGUGGGAAAGAUUUUUCGGUUGGGGAUGGGCUCGCGGCCUAUCAGCUUGUUGGUGAGGUAGUGGCUCACCAAGGCGUCGACGGGUAGCCGGCCUGAGAGGGUGACCGGCCACACUGGGACUGAGACACGGCCCAGACUCCUACGGGAGGCAGCAGUGGGGAAUAUUGCACAAUGGGCGGAAGCCUGAUGCAGCAACGCCGCGUGAGGGAUGACGGCCUUCGGGUUGUAAACCUCUUUUAGCAGGGAAGAAGCGAAAGUGACGGUACCUGCAGAAAAAGCGCCGGCUAACUACGUGCCAGCAGCCGCGGUAAUACGUAGGGCGCAAGCGUUAUCCGGAAUUAUUGGGCGUAAAGAGCUCGUAGGCGGUUUGUCGCGUCUGCUGUGAAAACCCGAGGCUCAACCUCGGGCCUGCAGUGGGUACGGGCAGACUAGAGUGCGGUAGGGGAGAUUGGAAUUCCUGGUGUAGCGGUGGAAUGCGCAGAUAUCAGGAGGAACACCGAUGGCGAAGGCAGAUCUCUGGGCCGUUACUGACGCUGAGGAGCGAAAGGGUGGGGAGCAAACAGGCUUAGAUACCCUGGUAGUCCACCCCGUAAACGUUGGGAACUAGUUGUGGGGGCCUUUCCACGGUCUCCGUGACGCAGCUAACGCAUUAAGUUCCCCGCCUGGGGAGUACGGCCGCAAGGCU